Molecule: ribosomal RNA, 279 nt
Filed under: uncultured bacterium
Lineage: Bacteria
Description: partial 16S ribosomal RNA
Rfam family: Bacterial small subunit ribosomal RNA
Source: RNAcentral
UGCCAGCCGCCGCGGUAAUACGUGUGGGGCAAGCGUUGUUCGGAAUUACUGGGCUUAAAGGGUUCGUAGGCGGCCACUUAAGUCAGGGGUGAAAUCCCACGGCCCAACCGUGGAACGGCCUCUGAUACUGAUAGUCUUGAGUUUUGUAGGGGAUAGUGGAAUUUUUAGUGUUGAGAUAGAAUUCGAACAUAUUAAAAAGAACACCGAAAGCGAAGGCGACUAUCUGGACAAAAACUGACGCUGAGGAACGAAAGCAUAGGGAGCAAACAGGAUUAGAUA